This 1959-nucleotide ribosomal RNA is filed under the name human gut metagenome. RNAcentral's name for it is "bacterial LSU rRNA". It matches the Rfam family "Bacterial large subunit ribosomal RNA", at positions 3 to 1973 of the family's 2925-position model. The record is from RNAcentral.
UCAAGCUACAAAGAGCGUAAGGGGAAUGCCUUGGCACCAGGAGCCGACGAAGGACGCAGCGAUCUGCGAAAAGCCACGGGGAGCCGAAAGCAGGCUUUGAUCCGUGGAUAUCCGAAUGGGGAAACCCGCAUGGUUAAUAGCCAUGCGACGUAUACUGAAUAAAUAAGUAUGCGUCGGGAACCGUCUGAACUGAAACAUCUAAGUAGGACGAGGAAAAGAAAUCAACCGAGAUUCCGUAAGUAGUGGCGAGCGAACACGGAAGAGGCCAAACCGAAGGUAGCAAUAUCUUCGGGGUACGGACAGUAAACGGCAUUGCGGUAUCUUAGCAGAAGUGCAUGGGACGGCACACCAUAGAGAGUGAUAGUCUCGUAAGCGAAAAGAGAAGGCAGCCAACUGUAUCCAGAGUACCGCCGGACACGUGAAACCCGGUGGGAACAUGGGGGGACCAUCCUCCAAGCCUAAAUACUCCCUGGUGACCGAUAGAGAACAGUACUGUGAAGGAAAGGUGAAAAGAACCCCGGGAGGGGAGUGAAAUAGAAUCUGAAACCGCAUACAUACAAACAGUAGGAGCCCUUUGGGGUGACUGCGUACCUUUUGCAUAAUGGGUCAGCGACUUACGUUCAGUAGCGAGCUUAACCGAGUAGGGGAGGCGUAGCGAAAGCGAGUUCGAAUAGAGCGAGUAGUUGCUGGGCGUAGACCCGAAACCGGAUGAUCUAUCCAUGACCAGGUUGAAGUUGUGGUAACACACAAUGGAGGACCGAACCGACUAGUGUUGCAAAAUUAGCGGAUGAGUUGUGGAUAGGGGUGAAAGGCUAAACAAAUCCGGAGAUAGCUGGUUCUCCCCGAAAACUAUUGAGGUAGUGCCUCGCGUAUCACUCCAGGGGGUAGAGCACUGUUAUGGCUAGGGGGACAUGGCGUCUUACCAAACCAUGGCAAACUCCGAAUACUUGGAAGUGUGAGCGCGGGAGACAGAGCACCGGGUGCUAACGUCCGGACUCAAAAGGGAAACAACCCAGACCGCCGGCUAAGGUCCCUAAUAUUUGCUAAGUGGAAAACGAAGUGGAAAGGCUAAGACAGUCAGGAAGUUGGCUUAGAAGCAGCCAUCCUUUAAAGAAAGCGUAAUAGCUCACUGAUCGAGUCUUUCUGCGCGGAAGAUGUAACGGGGCUAAGCAAGUAACCGAAGCCGCGGAUUCAUACGUAAGUAUGAGUGGUAGGGGAGCGUUCUGUAAGCCUGCGAAGGUGUGUUGAGAAGCAUGCUGGAGGUAUCAGAAGUGCGAAUGCUGACAUGAGUAACGUUAAAGCGGGUGAAAAGCCCGCUCGCCGUAAGCCCAAGGUUUCCUGCUCUGCGUUCAUCGGAGCAGGGUGAGUCGGCCCCUAAGGCCAGGCUGAGAAGCGUAGUCGAUGGGAACAAGGUUAAUAUUCCUAGACCAUUGUCAAGUAUGCGAUGGGGGGACGGAGUGCGAAAGAUGAUCCGGGUGUUGGACAUCCCGGUUUGUGAGAGUAGAAGGAGAGUAGGCAAAUCCGCUCUCGAAUCUUCGAGUCAAAACAUCGAUUCUCCACGUGAGAAGAAGUCAUCGGAAGUGCUUCCAAGAAAAGCCUCUAAGUGGUAGCUUGACAAGACCGUACCGCAAACCGACACUGGUGGGCGAGUUGAAUAUACUAAGGCGCUUGAGAGAACUCGGGAGAAGGAACUCGGCAAAUUGACACCGUAACUUCGGAAGAAGGUGUGCCUUUGUAGCGUGAGAGAAGAAACAUCUUAAGCGUGAAGAGGCCUCAGAGAAUAGGUGGCUGCAACUGUUUACUAAAAACAUAGCACUCUGCAAAGAUGAAAGUCGACGUAUAGGGUGUGAUGCCUGCCCGGUGCUGGAAGAUUAAUUGAUGGGGUGCAAGCUCCUGAUCGAAGUCCCAGUAAACGGCGGCCGUAACUAUAACGGUCCUAAGGUAGCGAAAUUCCUUGUC